AUUGAACGCUGGCGGCAUGCUUUACACAUGCAAGUCGAACGGUAACAGGCCUUCGGGUGCUGACGAGUGGCGAACGGGUGAGUAAUGCAUCGGAACGUGCCCAGAGGUGGGGGAUAACGCAGCGAAAGCUGUGCUAAUACCGCAUGUGAUCUGAGGAUGAAAGCGGGGGACCAAGCAGCAAUGUUUGGCCUCGCGCCUCUGGAGCGGCCGAUGUCAGAUUAGGUAGUUGGUGGGGUAAAGGCCUACCAAGCCGACGAUCUGUAGCUGGUCUGAGAGGACGACCAGCCACACUGGGACUGAGACACGGCCCAGACUCCUACGGGAGGCAGCAGUGGGGAAUUUUGGACAAUGGGCGCAAGCCUGAUCCAGCAAUGCCGCGUGCGGGAAGAAGGCCUUCGGGUUGUAAACCGCUUUUGUACGGAACGAAAAGGCUCUGGCUAAUACCUGGGGCUGAUGACGGGACCAUAAGAAUAAGCACCGGCUAACUACGUG
RNAcentral lists this ribosomal RNA (492 nucleotides) under uncultured bacterium. Its description in RNAcentral is "partial 16S ribosomal RNA". It matches the Rfam family "Bacterial small subunit ribosomal RNA", at positions 30 to 507 of the family's 1533-position model. The record is from RNAcentral.